This 366-nucleotide ribosomal RNA is filed under the name uncultured bacterium. RNAcentral's name for it is "bacterial SSU rRNA". It matches the Rfam family "Bacterial small subunit ribosomal RNA", at positions 28 to 396 of the family's 1533-position model. The record is from RNAcentral.
GAUGAACGCUGGCGGCGUGCUUAACACAUGCAAGUCGAACGUGAGGGUGCAGCAAUGUGCCUGAAAGUGGCAAACGGGUGAGUAACACGUAGGUAACCUGCCUCGAAGUGGGGGAUAACCACGGGAAACUGUGGCUAAUACCGCAUGGUCUUGCGAAUGCGAAAGCGUUUGCAAGUAAAACUCCGGUGCUUCGAGAGGGGCCUGCGCCCGAUUAGCUAGUUGGUAGGGUAAAGGCCUACCAAGGCGAUGAUCGGUAGCUGGUCUGAGAGGACGAUCAGCCACACGGGAACUGAGAUACGGUCCGACUCCUACGGGGGGCAGCAGUGAGGAAUAUUGGGCAAUGGACGAAAGUCUGACCCAGCAACG